Rosa rugosa (rugosa rose) is the source of this 637-nucleotide long non-coding RNA. RefSeq lists it as uncharacterized. The transcript is spliced from 4 exons. The record is from RefSeq and is a predicted model, not a curated record. NCBI's taxonomy places the organism in Eukaryota, Viridiplantae, Streptophyta, Magnoliopsida, Rosales, Rosaceae.
CAAUACUGCAUUCGUACUUUGUACUACUUUUUUGGGUGGUGAAGUUCUCAAAAACCCAAAACAGAGAAGAAAUGGCAAGCGGUCCUCUUCCUCCUCCUCCGUCGUCGUUGAAGGCAAACACGGCAGCAGGAGACCCCAAAUUCGAUCUCGUGAAGCAGAUUCGCAGCCACGAGGUUGCAAUUGCAGAGCUCAAUGCUCUUUCAUCGUCCCGGACAGUGUAUCAGAAGAAUGGGAACUUAUUUUUCCGUACAACAAUCCAGAAAGCAUCGGCAUCUGAACAGAAACAACUAGAUUUGACUAAAGCAAGCCUUGAAAAGUUGAAUUCUUCUUGAUACGGCUUGGUCUACAUUGAUGCGUUGGCAGCUUUCUAAGGAUAAAGAACGGGUGCAUCUCUUAUUGCAUGGAAUCGUGCUGUUUGGGAGUCGAGAAGACAUUUUCCUUUUUUGUUAUGGUCAUAGAACAAAUUUCCUCUGCUUUUUGUAUUUGUCUUGGUGUUGCAAUCGUUAGCCUUUAGCAUAUAGAUAUAUGGUUGAAGAGAAGUAGUCAUGGGAAUUUUCGGAGAAGAAUAUUGUACAACUCAAAUAUGAUUUUGAAGUAUAUUAUUGAGUUAUUUCCCGGAAUACCUUCAUAUGUUUUA